Molecule: non-coding RNA, 73 nt
Organism: Trichomycterus rosablanca
Lineage: Eukaryota; Metazoa; Chordata; Actinopteri; Siluriformes; Trichomycteridae
Source: the annotation of a RefSeq genome assembly
GUUUCUGUAGUGUAGUGGUCAUCACGUUCGCCUCACACGCGAAAGGUCCCUGGUUCGAAACCGGGCAGAAACA